GGGUGUAUAGCUCAGUGGUAGAGUGUGUGCUUAGCAUGCGCAAGGUCCUAGGUUCAAUCCUCAGUACCUCCA
RNAcentral lists this transfer RNA (72 nucleotides) under Camelus ferus (Wild Bactrian camel). It matches the Rfam family "tRNA". From Rfam's summary of the family: Transfer RNA (tRNA) molecules are approximately 80 nucleotides in length. Their secondary structure includes four short double-helical elements and three loops (D, anti-codon, and T loops). The record is from Rfam by way of RNAcentral. Lineage: Eukaryota; Metazoa; Chordata; Mammalia; Artiodactyla; Camelidae.